AGCGAACGCUGGCGGCAGGCCUAACACAUGCAAGUCGAGCGCGUGUAGCAAUACACGAGCGGCAGACGGGAGAGUAACACGUGGGAACGUACCCUUCGGUUCGGAAUAACCCAGGGAAACUUGGACUAAUACCGGAUACGUCCGAAAGGAGAAAGAUUUAUCGCCGAAGGAUCGGCCCGCGGCUGAUUAGCUAGUUGGUGAGGUAACGGCUCACCAAGGCGACGAUCGGUAGCUGGUCUGAGAGGAUGAUCAGCCUCACUGGGACUGAGACACGGCCCAGACUCCUACGGGAGGCAGCAGUGGGGAAUAUUGGACAAUGGGCGCAAGCCUGAUCCAGCCAUGCCGCGUGGGUGAUGAAGGCCCUAGGGUUGUAAAGCCCUUUCGGCGGGGAAGAUAAUGACGGUACCCGCAGAAGAAGCCCCGGCUAACUUCGUGCCAGCAGCCGCGGUAAUACGAAGGGGGCUAGCGUUGCUCGGAAUCACUGGGCGUAAAGCGCACGUAGGCGGAUCGUUAAGUCGGAGGUGAAAUCCUGGAGCUCAACUCCAGAACUGCCUUCGAUACUGGCGAUCUUGGAGUCCGGGAGAGGUGAGUGGAACUCCGAGUGUAGAGGUGAAAUUCGUAGAUAUUCGGAAGAACACCAGUGGCGAAGGCGGCUCCCUGGCCCGGUACUGACGCUG
RNAcentral lists this ribosomal RNA (677 nucleotides) under uncultured Eubacteriales bacterium. RNAcentral's name for it is "bacterial SSU rRNA". It matches the Rfam family "Bacterial small subunit ribosomal RNA", at positions 28 to 748 of the family's 1533-position model. The record is from RNAcentral. Lineage: Bacteria; Bacillati; Bacillota; Clostridia; Eubacteriales.